RNAcentral lists this long non-coding RNA (596 nucleotides) under Nicotiana tabacum (common tobacco). RNAcentral's name for it is "long non-coding RNA (NTAB_LNC006074)". The record is from RNAcentral. Lineage: Eukaryota; Viridiplantae; Streptophyta; Magnoliopsida; Solanales; Solanaceae.
GUUUUAAACCCUAAACUGAACUCUUUCCUUUAGUCAGCAUUAGGGUUUUAAACCCUAAACUGAACUCUUUCCUUUAGUCAGCAUUAGGGUUUUAAACCCUAAACUGAACUUUUUCCUUUCAGUCAGCAUUAGGGUUUUAAACCCUAAGCUGAACUUUUUCCCUUUAGUCAGCAUUUGGGUUUUAAACCCUAAACUGAACUUUUUCCAUUCAGCCAGCAUUAGGGUUUUAAACCCUAAACUGAGCUUUUCCAUGCAGUCAGCAUUAGGGUUUUAAACCCUAAACUGAACUUUUUCCUUUCAGUCAGCAUUAGGGUUUUAAACCCUAAACUGAUCUUUUUCCUUUAGUCAGCAUUAGGGUUUUAAACCCUAAACUGAACUUUUUCCUUUCAGUCAGCAUUAGGGUUUUAAACCCUAAACUGAGCUUUUCCAUGCAGUCAGCAUUAGGGUUUUAAACCCUAAACUGAACUUUUUCCUUCCAGUCAGCAUUAGGGUUUUAAACCCUAAACUGAACUUUUUCCCUUUAGUCAGCAUUUGGGUUUUAAACCCUAAACUGACUUUUUCCAUUCAGCCAGCAUUAGGGUUUUAAACCCUAAACU